RNAcentral lists this ribosomal RNA (446 nucleotides) under uncultured bacterium. RNAcentral's name for it is "partial 16S ribosomal RNA". It matches the Rfam family "Bacterial small subunit ribosomal RNA", at positions 338 to 795 of the family's 1533-position model. The record is from RNAcentral.
UCUACGGGAGGCAGCAGUAGGGAAUUUUCGGCAAUGGGGGGAACCCUGACCGAGCAACGCCGCGUGAACGAAGAAGUUAUUCGUAAUGUAAAGUUCUUUUAACAGGGAAGAAAGAGAAAUUUGACGGUACCUGAAGAAUAAGCUCCGGCUAACUACGUGCCAGCAGCCGCGGUAAUACGGAGGAUGCGAGCGUUAUCCGGAUUUAUUGGGUUUACAGGGUGCGCAGGCGGAAGAUCAAGUCAGCGGUAAAAUUGAGAGGCUCAACCUCUUCGAGCCGUUGAAACUGGUUUUCUUGAGGGAGCGAGAAGUAUGCGGAAUGCGUGGUGUAGCGGUGAAAUGCAUAGAUAGCACACAGAACUCCGAUUGCGAAGGCAGCAUACCGGCGCUCAACUGACGCUCAUGCACGAAAGUGUGGGUAUCGAACAGGAUUAGAUACCCCAGUAGUC